GUGGCGCACGGGUGCGUAACACGUAUGUAACCUACCCAUAUCAGGCGGAUAGCCUCUCGAAAGAGAGAUUAAGCCCGCAUAAAAUCACACUAUGGCAUCAUAGAAUGAUCAAAUAUUUAUAGGAUAUGGAUGGGCAUGCGGAACAUUAGCUAGUUGGUAAGGUAACGGCUUACCAAGGGCUACGAUGUUUAGGGGAUCUGAGAGGAUGACCCCCAGGAGUGGUACUGAGACACGGACCAGACUCCUACGGGAGGCAGCAGUAAGGCCUACUUGGUCAAUGGACGGAAGUCUGAACCAGUCAUGCCGCGUGCAGGAAGACGGCCCUACGGGUUGUAAACUGCUUUUGUACCGGAAUAAAGCACAGGUCGUGAUCUGUUGCUGAAUGUACGGUAAGAAUAAGGAUCGGCUAACUCCGUGCCAGCAGCCGAGGUAAUACGGAGGAUCCGAGCGUUAUCCGGAUUCAUUGGGUUUAAAGGGUGCGUAAGCGGGCUAUUAAGUCAAGGGUGA
This 507-nucleotide ribosomal RNA is filed under the name uncultured Mucilaginibacter sp. RNAcentral describes it as "bacterial SSU rRNA". It matches the Rfam family "Bacterial small subunit ribosomal RNA", at positions 95 to 597 of the family's 1533-position model. Lineage: Bacteria; Pseudomonadati; Bacteroidota; Sphingobacteriia; Sphingobacteriales; Sphingobacteriaceae. The record is from RNAcentral.